Molecule: long non-coding RNA, 1040 nt
Organism: Orcinus orca (killer whale)
Lineage: Eukaryota; Metazoa; Chordata; Mammalia; Artiodactyla; Delphinidae
Exons: 2
Source: RefSeq, a predicted model, not a curated record
CUGACGGGGGCGAGCACGUGCCUGAUGCAAUUCGGGAGCGGGCGGGGGCAGCGAGCCCGGCAGGAGAGAAGGGAUGGUAAAGAGGGGGAAGUGUCUUAAAGAGCCAGCGCGUGAGAGCGGCCGCAGGUGGAGCACAUGGGAGUGGGCCACGCGGCCGGCCGGGCCUGCUCGCGCUCUUUAGGUUGGCUGCUCCAGAUUCCGAGAAAGGAGCCAUUAAUGUCACCCUCCACUUACAGGAUGAUGGAGCCACGCCGCACAGCUUACAGGAUCUUGGUUCCCCGACCAGGGAUUGAACCCAGGCCCAUGGCACUGAAAGCACCAAGCCCUAACCACUGGACCACCAGGGAAUUCCCAGGAUCAGACCAGCUUGUGCUGUGCCCAUGGCUUCAACACAUCCUAGGCUUAAAACUCACAGACACACAGAGAGAGAAAAUCAAACUUAAAAAAUAAAAAUUAUAAAGUAGGUCCAGGGACUUCCCUGGUGGCACAGUGGUUAAGACUCUGCACUCCCAAUGCAGGGAGCCUGGGUUUGAUCCCUGGUCAGGGAACUAGAUCCCACAUGCAUGCCGCAACUAAGGAGCCCUCGAGCCGCAACGAAGGAGCCCACCUGCCGCAACUAAGACCCAGUGCAACCAAACAAAUAAAUAAAUAAAUAUUUAAAAAGAAAUAGGGACUUCCCUGUUAGCACAGUCGUUGAGAAUCCGCCUGCCAAUGCAGGGGACACGGGUUCAAUCCCUGGUCCGGGAAGAUCCCACAUGCCGUGGAGCAACUAAGCCCGUGUGCCACAGUUACUGAGCCUGCGCUCUAGAGCCCGUGCGCAACAACUACUGAGCUCGCGUGCCACAACUACUGAAGCCCGUGCGCCUAGAGCCCGUGCUCUACAACAAGAGAAGCCACCACAAUGAGAAGCCCACGCACCGCAACGAAGAGUAGCCCCCGUUCUCUGCAACUAGAGAAAGCCUGCGUGUAGCAACAAAGACCCAGCACAGCCAAAAAUAAAUAAAUAAAUAAUAAAUUUAAAUUAAAAAAAGAAAAGGAAA